UUCCCUAAUGUAUGAGGAAGGUUAUGGGAAAGGGGUUUUAAUUGCAAUAGAAAUAAAAUCAUGAGGGUUUAAUUACUGAAUCACUUCCUAAUGGUAUGUUCCAGGUUCGUUCCUAUAAUGAAAAUAAGAUUCCAGAUAAUGAAAAUAUAGAUUCUAGGUGGUCCUGUUUCCGGAAGAAUUCGACAUAGUUUUAUACAUAUUACCGAGAGAUAAAAAAUAGAAGUAACUCAUUUUGCUUCAAGCAGAUAGACUCCGGAACACAAAUUCGAAUGGUUAUACUGUUUUUCACCCUCAACAUUCUUUUUUUAUGGCGAUACAAUUA
Molecule: long non-coding RNA, 322 nt
Organism: Neltuma alba
Lineage: Eukaryota; Viridiplantae; Streptophyta; Magnoliopsida; Fabales; Fabaceae
Exons: 3
Source: RefSeq, a predicted model, not a curated record